ACCAGGCAUCACUUCAGUCAGAUCAGUCUUCAUAAGGAGCAUCCAAGUUACACUGCUGAGAUGUAUCUGAUGGGAAGGCUCUGGGUUCUGGGUUCUCUACUCUCCUUGAACUGAUUUAGUCAAGGCCUCCUGCCUUGGAGAGAGAUGCUCACAGGCCCACUUUCCAGAAGCUGCCAGACCUGACUGGUGAGAUGCCUUCCUCAGCUUUGCAGCUUCCCAGGCCCAUCCUUGAAUAGCACCAUCAACCAAGAAAAGGAGAGGAGCAGCCUGCAGGCCCUGCGCCCACUUCACACUGCUGUCCUCCGUCCUGAGCUGGCCAACUAUCUUCCACCUCAGCCCCCAGACGGCCCCAACAGAUGGGCUGUCAUUCAAAAAUUUGAUGGAGGCCAUAGCUGACACUGUCAGCUGCAACACUGCAGGAUGUCUUUCUGCCUGGCACAGCAGCUGAGCAGUCUUUCGCCUUUGAGGAUGAAGCAAGUGAACAGUGGGAUCUGGAAGGAGGAGAGAAACUCACAGAGGAAACGUCCAGCCUACAUAGACCACCAAGUUUUCUGAUUUGUCUCCUUAGUCUUGACCACAGGUUUACCAGACAGCCAAGUAGGGAGAUACUUGUAUAGUCAGGCUUUCCUUUCUGGACAUUGUCGGCCUCUAUACCUGCUGUGCCUAGAAAACUGCAGAAGAAUCUUCUGUCGUAGUCCUAGUCUUGUCUUUAUGAACUCAAAAGAACGAAAGAAGCUAGAUAUAUGCUGGAAUUGGGGAGACAGACAUUAAUAACAAGGACACCCAGCCUGCCAGAAUAAAUGGGAGGAGGCGAUCCAUCUACAUGACAGGUAUUCAGUGGAGCCUGGAGCCCCCAGCUCUGCUGAGACGUGAAUGAAAGAAAUGUAGAGUGGAAUGUGUGUAAUAUAAAUAUAUGGUAGGGGGUACCAGGAUUUGGACCAGAGACCUCUUGAUCUGCAGUCAAAUGUUCUAUCCCUGAACUAUAUCCCUUCCAUCU
Long non-coding RNA from Mastomys coucha (southern multimammate mouse), 997 nucleotides. RefSeq lists it as uncharacterized. The transcript is spliced from 2 exons. The record is from RefSeq and is a predicted model, not a curated record. Lineage: Eukaryota; Metazoa; Chordata; Mammalia; Rodentia; Muridae.